Long non-coding RNA from Gallus gallus (chicken), 572 nucleotides. The record is from Ensembl. NCBI's taxonomy places the organism in Eukaryota, Metazoa, Chordata, Aves, Galliformes, Phasianidae.
CUUGAAUGAGAAUCUCCACUGUGCAUUUGCAGGCUCUUGAGCAAUUUCUCCCAGGGAAGUAAAGACAGACAUCGUAUUAUAUGUGUUCUCCUUGGAGUAAAGAAAAUUUAAAUUAUUCACCUGGGUUACAGAUAUGGAUGGCCUUCCUUGCUGCAGAAAGAAUUUCCAGAUAGUGUCUUGGAGAAUGUAUCUGCACUUAUAAGUAUCUACUUCCUGAGAGAUGAAAUGAAACCUCCAGUAAAUGCAAAAAUUUAUUUGAUUUUAAAGUAACCCUAGGGCAGGAGAGGUAAAAUCUUCAUUCCACAAAAAAAUAAAGUUAAAACAUUCAGGUAAGCUUUUCUGUUCAGGGACUUUUUACCAACCUGUAAGCCUCAAAGGCUUCUUCUUCUUCUUCUUCUUCUUUUUUUUUAAUCUAAGUAGUAGCAGUUGGUAUAAUUAAGGAUGUUUAUCUCACCUUUUAAAGUCUUGUCUGCUACUAUUAUUAGACCAGUACAACAAUUAACUAACACAGAAUUAUGGAAAAAUAGUGCUCAGAAUGGCACUUCAGAGGCACACAGACGAGAAUACCUGCG